GGGAAUAUUGGGCAAUGGGCGCAAGCCUGACCCAGCGACGCCGCGUGGGGGACGAAGUCUUUCGGGACGUAAACCCAUGUUGUACGGGACGAAGGAAGUGACGGUACCGUACGAGGAAGCCCCGGCAAACUACGUGCCAGCAGCCGCGGUAAUACGUAGGGGGCGAGCGUUGUCCGGAAUCACUGGGCGUAAAGCGCACGUAGGCGGGCUGUUAAGUCGGCCGUGAAAUACACUGGCUCAACCGGUGCAGGUCGGUCGAUACUGGCGGUCUGGAGUAUGGGAGAGGGAAGUGGAAUUCCCGGUGUAGCGGAGAAAUGCGUAGAUAUCGGGGGGAACACCAGUGGCGAAGGCGGGUUCCUGGCGCAUGACUGACGCUGAGGUG
This 382-nucleotide ribosomal RNA is filed under the name uncultured bacterium. Its description in RNAcentral is "bacterial SSU rRNA". It matches the Rfam family "Bacterial small subunit ribosomal RNA", at positions 357 to 753 of the family's 1533-position model. The record is from RNAcentral.